Gasterosteus aculeatus aculeatus (three-spined stickleback) is the source of this 1285-nucleotide long non-coding RNA. Lineage: Eukaryota; Metazoa; Chordata; Actinopteri; Perciformes; Gasterosteidae. The record is from Ensembl.
GGCAGAGAGACGCGGCGCCCCAUUGGCCGGACCGGUGCAGGUUAGGCUUACCUGAGCCCGCCUCCUGUUUACAUCCGUGCCAUUUCUGCCGCUACCCUGUUUCUUGAGGUGUUUAGGACUUAAAAAUACGGGUGGGCCUGUUCCGGACCUGUCCACCUACACACAGCAGGAGCAACAUUAAAAUGACGCCUUGGAUGGAUCAGCGGUCUCAAAGCUGCACGAUGAACUAAAACAUUUCCCUCAUCCACAUUUCAAGCAGGUAGUUGCAUUUAAUCAAGUUAAUUUAGUUAUUCAAUUAUUUGUUAUUGUUAUUGUUCCUUGCAACAGCAGCACCGAUAGUAUAUAGAAUGGCAGAAUGGCAAUGACACACACACACACACAUUAUUACUAGAUAAUACAUGCACAUGUACUGCAAUUACACGCAAAACAUGAUCAAGAAAUGUGGUGUUGUAUAGUAUCAACCCGACAACAUAGAACAUCCACUUAAUUAAAUAGAGGAUAUUGUGUGUGUGGGUUUGCGAGACAGAUGCUGCAGUGAUGUGAAAAACGAACAAUUGGUCGAGGUCGAGGGAGACCCCCUAGUUACCAACAUGGUACCAUCACUGCAUGAAUCAUCCAUUACCCAUGCUUCACUGCAGCACCGCGUUCGGACCGGGCGGCGCUGUCCGCUCGCCAUGUCUGAGCCCACUAAGUGACCUUGCUGUGGCCAGCGUGAGUCUGAUCCUCUUUAUGUGCUGCAGUUGCCAACAAGGUGACGGUUGUUUUCAGCGAAGGCCUACAAGAAGUCACACAGAGUCCUGCAGGCACAGCUGUCAAAUUUGAUACAGCCUUAGAUUUAAAUCUGCUUACAGGGAAAGCGUUCACGUGACCUUGCGCUUUCUUCCUUUCUCAAAUGAGAUUACAGGGCAGCUGAGAUAAGCCAAGGAGAAUUAUGAGAGCUCCUGUCAUUUCCAGAUGAGGAGGCACCGUGGUUCUCAGACUACUCAUGUUUUUAACGGUUUGAGGCAAAUAUCAAUGAACAGACCCACUUUUUUCUUGCAGCCAAUCGGGCACCAAAGAUGCUAAAUCUUAGCCUGACUUGUACUACAGUGACAAAACUCUCUUGUUAAGACUGUUAUCAGGGGGGAGAAAACAGUGGCCCUCAUUACGUAACCCACACCUUUAAACAGUCCAGUCACACACUGCACACACACACUCACACACGACGAUGGAAUAACAUUUUGGUAGGAAAGAAGGAGUUUACUGACACUGCCGAAUGUGGGUAUUAUAACCAGAAGAAUCCGGU